UGGGGAAUAUUGGACAAUGGGCGAAAGCCUGAUCCAGCCAUGCCGCGUGUGUGAAGAAGGUCUUCGGAUUGUAAAGCACUUUAAGUUGGGAGGAAGGGCAGUAAAUUAAUACUUUGCUGUUUUGACGUUACCGACAGAAUAAGCACCGGCUAACUCUGUGCCAGCAGCCGCGGUAAUACAGAGGGUGCAAGCGUUAAUCGGAAUUACUGGGCGUAAAGCGCACGCAGGCGGUUUGUUAAGUCAGAUGUGAAAUCCCCGCGCUUAACGUGGGAACUGCAUUCAAAACUGACGAGCUAGAGUAUGGUAGAGGGUGGUGGAAUUUCCUGUGUAGCGGUGAAAUGCGUAGAUAUAGGAAGGAACACCAGUGGCGAAGGCGACCACCUGGACUGAUACUGACACUGAGGUGCGAAAGCGUGGGGAGCAAACA
RNAcentral lists this ribosomal RNA (427 nucleotides) under uncultured bacterium. RNAcentral describes it as "partial 16S ribosomal RNA". It matches the Rfam family "Bacterial small subunit ribosomal RNA", at positions 355 to 774 of the family's 1533-position model. The record is from RNAcentral.